GGGGGUGUACUGGUUUCGACGGGAUGGUUGAAAUCGGGAAAGCGGGCAGAGGGUCCCGUUGGCCUCUUUAAAAAACGGGAACAAACUUAAACGCCAAUAAACCGGCACUCGCAGCUGCGUAAACACGCCUGCCGUGGAACCAAUCGAUCUGCCGAAAGGAAUUUCCACGUUAACGCGCAGACCUUGUCCAGGGGAGGUUAAAGGGAAAAACGAAAUGGCCUAAGCUUUGCCGCCAUUUUGUAGAAUGAAGCUAGUGGACGCCUUGACCCUGCCGGUCGGGAAAGGCAAAUACGAAUAAUCCAAGGAUCGGAUGCGCCCGGAGAUGUCCCGAUGGACGCGGUUUCGGACAGGGGUUCAAUUCCCCUCACCUCCACCA
This 376-nucleotide transfer-messenger RNA is filed under the name Clostridiales bacterium. It matches the Rfam family "transfer-messenger RNA". Rfam says of the family: Bacterial tmRNA, also known as 10Sa RNA or SsrA, is named for its dual tRNA and mRNA-like properties. Lineage: Bacteria; Bacillati; Bacillota; Clostridia; Eubacteriales. RNAcentral also lists the same sequence under 4 other names. The record is from RNAcentral.